RNAcentral lists this ribosomal RNA (447 nucleotides) under uncultured Comamonadaceae bacterium. Its description in RNAcentral is "bacterial SSU rRNA". It matches the Rfam family "Bacterial small subunit ribosomal RNA", at positions 929 to 1382 of the family's 1533-position model. Lineage: Bacteria; Pseudomonadati; Pseudomonadota; Betaproteobacteria; Burkholderiales; Comamonadaceae. The record is from RNAcentral.
GCGGUGGAUGAUGUGGUUUAAUUCGAUGCAACGCGAAAACCUUACCCACCUUGACAUGUACGGAAUUUGCCAGAGAUGGCUUAGUGCUCGAAAGAGAGCCGUAACACAGGUGCUGCAUGGCUGUCGUCAGCUCGUGUCGUGAGAUGUUGGGUUAAGUCCCGCAACGAGCGCAACCCUUGUCAUUAGUUGCUACGAAAGGGCACUCUAAUGAGACUGCCGGUGACAAACCGGAGGAAGGUGGGGAUGACGUCAAGUCCUCAUGGCCCUUAUAGGUGGGGCUACACACGUCAUACAAUGGCCGGUACAAAGGGUCGCAAACCCGCGAGGGGGAGCUAAUCCAUCAAAGCCGGUCGUAGUCCGGAUCGCAGUCUGCAACUCGACUGCGUGAAGUCGGAAUCGCUAGUAAUCGUGGAUCAGCAUGUCACGGUGAAUACGUUCCCGGGUCUU